GGGCAUAUGGCGGAAUUGGUAGACGCGCUAGUUUCAGGUACUGGUGGUAGCGAUACCUUGGAAGUUCAAAUCUUCUUAUGCCCACCA
Molecule: transfer RNA, 87 nt
Filed under: Candidatus Enterousia merdequi
Lineage: Bacteria; Pseudomonadati; Pseudomonadota; Alphaproteobacteria
Description: tRNA-Leu
Rfam family: tRNA
About the family: Transfer RNA (tRNA) molecules are approximately 80 nucleotides in length. Their secondary structure includes four short double-helical elements and three loops (D, anti-codon, and T loops).
Source: RNAcentral